Acanthosepion pharaonis is the source of this 99-nucleotide non-coding RNA. Lineage: Eukaryota; Metazoa; Mollusca; Cephalopoda; Sepiida; Sepiidae. The record is from the annotation of a GenBank genome assembly.
ACGGCCAUAUCACGUUGAAAUACCACUUUUCGUACGAUCACCGAAGUUAAGCAAUGUCGAGCCUCGUCUGUACCUAGAUGGGUGACCCCAUUGGGAAUA